This is a long non-coding RNA of Neodiprion fabricii, 266 nucleotides long. RefSeq lists it as uncharacterized. The transcript has 3 exons. NCBI's taxonomy places the organism in Eukaryota, Metazoa, Arthropoda, Insecta, Hymenoptera, Diprionidae. The record is from RefSeq and is a predicted model, not a curated record.
GCUUGAUAUGGUUUGUCUCGAGGCUCAUCUUCAAGGAAUCCAUUCAUCUCCUUUUGCGAAGUUUCUUUGUUCCAUUGUUCGACAUCGUCAUUGUUCAUCAUUACGACGUAGUUGUCGGCUUGAUAGGAAUAGCUUGUUGCACAAUAGCACACGUCCGAACUCCAGUCACUAUUCGUGUACGUAUGUUCGAUACUCUAAAAUUAUUCUUUUACUCUCUAAAUCCUAUUGUUAUUACAUUUAGGUAUAAUAAUAAUAAUAGUAAUAGU